AGCGAACGCUGGCGGCAGGCCUAACACAUGCAAGUCGAACGAACUCUUCGGAGUUAGUGGCGGACGGGUGAGUAACACGUGGGAACGUGCCUUUAGGUUCGGAAUAACUCAGGGAAACUUGUGCUAAUACCGAAUGUGCCCUUCGGGGGAAAGAUUUAUCGCCUUUAGAGCGGCCCGCGUCUGAUUAGCUAGUUGGUGAGGUAACGGCUCACCAAGGCGACGAUCAGUAGCUGGUCUGAGAGGAUGGCCAGCCACACUGGGACUGAGACACGGCCCAGACUCCUACGGGAGGCAGCAGUGGGGAAUCUUGCGCAAUGGGCGAAAGCCUGACGCAGCCAUGCCGCGUGAAUGAUGAAGGUCUUAGGAUUGUAAAAUUCUUUCACCAGGGACGAUAAUGACGGUACCCGGAGAAGAGGCCCCGGCUAACUUCGUGCCAGCAGCCGCCGUAA
Molecule: ribosomal RNA, 449 nt
Filed under: uncultured bacterium
Lineage: Bacteria
Description: partial 16S ribosomal RNA
Rfam family: Bacterial small subunit ribosomal RNA
Source: RNAcentral